Molecule: ribosomal RNA, 292 nt
Filed under: uncultured prokaryote
Description: partial 16S ribosomal RNA
Rfam family: Bacterial small subunit ribosomal RNA
Source: RNAcentral
GUGCCAGCAGCCGCGGUAAUACGUAGGGCCCAAGCCAAGUCCGGAAUUAUUGGGCGUUUAGCGCGCGCAGGCGGUCCCUUAAGUCUGAUGUGAAAUCUCGUGGCUCAACCGCGAGCGGUCAUUGGAAACUGGGAGACUUGAGUACAGAAGAGCAGAGUGGUUUUCCACGUGUAGCGGUGAAAUGCGUAGAGAUGUGCAGGAACACCAGUGGCGAAGGCGACACACUGGUCUGUCACUGACGCUGAGGUGCGUUUGCGUGGGUAGCGAACAGGAUUAGAAACCCUGGUAGUCC